Molecule: ribosomal RNA, 442 nt
Filed under: uncultured bacterium
Lineage: Bacteria
Description: partial 16S ribosomal RNA
Rfam family: Bacterial small subunit ribosomal RNA
Source: RNAcentral
CCUACGGGAGGCAGCAGUGGGGAAUAUUGGGCAAUGGGCGCAAGCCUGACCCAGCAACGCCGCGUGAAGGAAGAAGGCUUUCGGGUUGUAAACUUCUUUUAUCAGGGACGAAGCAAGUGACGGUACCUGAUGAAUAAGCCACGGCUAACUACGUGCCAGCAGCCGCGGUAAUACGUAGGUGGCAAUGGUUAUCCGGAUUUACUGGGUGUACAGGGUGCGUAGGCGGGAUGCAAAGGCAGCGGUAAAAAUGCGGUGCUCAACGCCGUCGAGCCGUUGAAACUGGCGUUCUUGAGUGGGCGAGAAGUAUGCGGAAUGCGUGGUGUAGCGGUGAAAUGCAUAGAUAUCACGCAGAACUCCGAUUGCGAAGGCAGCAUACCGGCGCCCUACUGACGCUGAGGCACGAAAGCGUGGGUAUCGAACAGGAUUAGAUACCCCUGUAGUC